This is a non-coding RNA of Octopus bimaculoides (California two-spot octopus), 102 nucleotides long. The record is from Rfam. NCBI's taxonomy places the organism in Eukaryota, Metazoa, Mollusca, Cephalopoda, Octopoda, Octopodidae.
AUAUGCUUCAUCAGUAAGUAUACUAAAAUUGGAAUGAUACAGAUAUUAGCAUGGCCCCUGCCCAAGGAUGACAGGCAAAUUUGUGAAUCAUUUCAUACUUUU